GCCUCGGUGGUGAAAUUGGUAGACACAUCGCACUUAAAAUGCGCCGUCGAAGGACGUGCCGGUUCGAGUCCGGCCCGAGGCACCA
RNAcentral lists this transfer RNA (85 nucleotides) under Pseudomonas putida. RNAcentral's name for it is "tRNA-Leu". It matches the Rfam family "tRNA". From Rfam's summary of the family: Transfer RNA (tRNA) molecules are approximately 80 nucleotides in length. Their secondary structure includes four short double-helical elements and three loops (D, anti-codon, and T loops). The record is from RNAcentral. RNAcentral also lists the same sequence under 1 other name. Lineage: Bacteria; Pseudomonadati; Pseudomonadota; Gammaproteobacteria; Pseudomonadales; Pseudomonadaceae.